AGAUGUGAGGGUGAUCUGGCUGCAACAUCUGUCACCUCAUUGAUCGCCAGGGUUGAUUCCACUGAUCUGGCUGGGUAGGCAGGUGUCCCCUUCCUCCCUCACCAUUCCAUGUGUGUCCCUCCUGAAGCUGCAUGCUUGGUCGAAGAUGACGGCUUUCCCCAAAUAGAGAUGGACUAUUCUUCAGUUGAGGGUAUAUAAGUAGUUGUGCUCCCCUGUUAGAACCUCCAAACACACUAAAAAAUCAGUGGCAUUCCUCUAUGAAAAGACUAAAGUAGCAGAAGAAAUCCAGAAAUCAAUUCUUU
RNAcentral lists this small nuclear RNA (302 nucleotides) under Erinaceus europaeus (western European hedgehog). Its description in RNAcentral is "7SK RNA". It matches the Rfam family "7SK RNA". Rfam says of the family: 7SK was discovered as an abundant small nuclear RNA in the mid-70s but a possible function has only recently been suggested. Two independent studies have found that 7SK RNA binds the CDK9/cyclin T complex (known as elongation factor P-TEFb). The record is from Rfam by way of RNAcentral. Lineage: Eukaryota; Metazoa; Chordata; Mammalia; Eulipotyphla; Erinaceidae.